UGUGUCGCCUCUCAGUGCAACACUACAUUACAGUGUCAGGGAGUGGAGGACCAAUGCUUUCAAUCAACGAUGACGGACGGCACCAAGAGUUUCCCAGCUUACGGCUGUGCAUCUAAAAACCUGUGUGCAGCUGCUUCAAGCCUGGGUUCUUUACCUUUCAUGCAGAGGGUUGGUACCAUAACAAGUCGACAAACCUGUAGUUCACCCACAACCACAACAACUGGUCCUCCAACCACAACCACAGCUGCCCCAACCACAAGAACACCUGCAUCAACCACCACAAUUUCUGCACCAACCACCACAAUCGCUGCACCAACCACGACCACUUCUUCACCAACCACAACAAGAAGUAAUGUAUCUUCUAUUAGAAUGAAUGUAAUUCCUCUUCUACUGGGAGUCCUUUUCUUUCACCUCUUUUAAUAAAAGGAACUUCUACUUUUCUUUUGUAGUUGGGAUUUUCUUACAUCUUAUCAUAUUUAAGUGUCUGGGAAAAGCUGAACACAUACUUAAGACGCUAUUACCCCUUUCCAAGUGACUUCAAAAUUGUAAUUGUUUACAUAAUGUUUUAAAUACAAAUAUAUUUAUCUAUUUAUGAAAGUCAUUGUUUAAAUGUGUUGAAUAAAUGUAGUAGUAUGCAAUAUAUGAGUACAAAUAAACAACUAUAUACUCUACCAAUAACUAGUUAUCUGGGAAUUUUUGGUCAUAUGUUGAUAUAUAAUCAGUUGUCUAUUCAUAAAAAAAUCUAUCAAAUAUCAAAUGACUUAACUAUUCAGGACAGUAUUUCUAAAACUAGUUACGGCAAUCACACCCAAAAAACUGAAAAAAACCCCCAACAACAACAACAACAACAAAUGUGACAGUAAUAACGUUAUAAUUCAUCUGACAUAAGGGUGCACUUUUUUUUUUGCCUGUCCCAUUUGGUUUUUUAGCCGUCAGAAUUGUUGUCUGAAGAUCAACAAGGAUACCCAAUGGAUUUACUUUACCAAAUGGAUCAUCACGGCCUUGCCGUAUUGGUCCAUUUGAUCGACCUUUGUUGUUAUUAUUUAUUUUAUUAAUAAAUAAUUAACCCCAGCUAUCUCUGGGUUAAGUCUUUUUUCAGAAGCACACCCAAACAGUUUAGAAGAUAACAGGUUAUGACAUCCACACAAACUAAUCUAGGUUUUGUAUUAAUUCAAAUAUUCAUCAGCAUGUCCACAUGAAAAAAAAAAACUCUACUUCCCAGUUUCCUUCACAUAUAGUUGGUAAUCGCUUUUUCUCAUUGCUAAUAUGAAGUAGACUGAAUCCACUCACUGAAAUAAUUUGGCCAAAGUAAAAGAUUUCCACAUCAGUUUGCCAAACAGAAUCAAAAAGAGAAUCUAAAAACUAAAACAAGAAAAUACGGUUUCCAAAAAGUGUGGCAUAUCUUUCUUUCUUAUCUGUAUUUAAUUUUAUUUAAUUUAAUAACAGUACAGUACUCCGUUUUUGGUAACCAUUGUCCUUGAUGUAAAUAUGUAAAACUUGUGUAUGUUUCUGUUCUGUGUCUUUAGUACUGUUUGUUUGUAUAUGUCUUUCUUGCUGCUGUUAUACCCAAAUUUCCCCUUGUGGGACAAUUAAAGGAUUAUUCUAUUCUAUUCUAUUCUUUUCUUCUUGUUUGUAUUUGGGGGUUUUUGAGUCCAUCACAUCCACAUACAUCAUCUUUAAAACUGUUUGGGUGUGCCUUGGAAAGGU
Long non-coding RNA from Oreochromis aureus, 1707 nucleotides. Lineage: Eukaryota; Metazoa; Chordata; Actinopteri; Cichliformes; Cichlidae. The record is from Ensembl.